Molecule: ribosomal RNA, 427 nt
Filed under: uncultured bacterium
Lineage: Bacteria
Description: partial 16S ribosomal RNA
Rfam family: Bacterial small subunit ribosomal RNA
Source: RNAcentral
UGGGGAAUAUUGCACAAUGGGCGCAAGCCUGAUGCAGCCAUGCCGCGUGUAUGAAGAAGGCCUUCGGGUUGUAAAGUACUUUCAGCGGGGAGGAAGGUGUUGAGGUUAAUAACCUCAGCAAUUGACGUUACCCGCAGAAGAAGCACCGACUAACUCCGUGCCAGCAGCCGCGGUAAUACGGAGGGUGCAAGCGUUAAUCGGAAUUACUGGGUGUAAAGCGCACGCAGGCGGUCUGUCAAGUCGGAUGUGAAAUCCCCGGGCUCAACCUGGGAACUGCAUUCGAAACUGGCAGGCUAGAGUCUUGUAGAGGGGGGUAGAAUUCCAGGUGUAGCGGUGAAAUGCGUAGAGAUCUGGAGGAAUACCGGUGGCGAAGGCGGCCCCCUGGACAAAGACUGACGCUCAGGUGCGAAAGCGUGGGGAGCAAACA